GAUGAAGAACGCAGCGAAAUGCGAUAAGUAGUGUGAAUUGCAGAAUUCAGUGAAUCAUCGAAUCUUUGAACGCACAUUGCGCCCCUUGGUAUUCCAUGGGGCAUGCCUGUUCGAGCGUCAUUUGUACCUUCAAGCUCUGCUUGGUGUUGGGUGUUUGUCUCGCCUCUGCGUGUAGACUCGCCUCAAAACAAUUGGCAGCCGGCGUAUUGAUUUCGGAGCGCAGUACAUCUCGCGCUUUGCACUCAUAACGACGACGUCCAAAAGUAAAUUGUUACAAACUUGACCUCGGAUCAGGUAGGGAUACCCGCUGAACUUAAGCAUAUCAAUCAGCGGAGGA
This 337-nucleotide unclassified non-coding RNA is filed under the name soil metagenome. RNAcentral's name for it is "partial contains 5.8S ribosomal RNA, internal transcribed spacer 2, and large subunit ribosomal RNA". The stretch from base 1 to 120 matches the Rfam family "5.8S ribosomal RNA", at positions 35 to 154 of the family's 154-position model. The record is from RNAcentral.